Molecule: ribosomal RNA, 546 nt
Filed under: Triticum aestivum (bread wheat)
Lineage: Eukaryota; Viridiplantae; Streptophyta; Magnoliopsida; Poales; Poaceae
Description: partial small subunit ribosomal RNA
Source: RNAcentral
AUGAUCCUACAGUUUCUGAAGUCAAAAGUAGCAGUGUUUCAUCUAAUUGUAUCCUUCAAAGCUAAUAGAGUCCUUCAUAAUCUUUUUUGGGUGUGGUCUCUAUUAGUCACUAUGUAUUCGCUGAGAUUCUUUCAUUUUGUUGAAGCUGUAUGUGCAUCUGCUUUUGUCCGUGCCAUGGUAGGCGGCGCUGGAUCAUCUAUGUUGAGGAUGGCUUCACCGACUUGUGCAUCGUCUGAGCUCUGUUUCCCUUUCCUAGGGUUUAACAAAAUCGCAUUUGUUAUUCGUCAAGAGGAGGCCCACAUGCAGCAAGGAGCAAGGUGUACGAAAAAAAAUUGGAACCAAGAUACUCAUCUGGAGUUUAGUGUUUUAUUGCAUCAACAUAACAAUUCGCUGUCUUAUUGCAGGGAUACUGGCUACUUCCCCUUUCUUCCUCUGCCAUCUUCCCAGCAACCAUGGUUCCCAUACCACUGCUCAUUGCAAGGUUCCGUCUGCCUUCCCUCUCACUCUCACAGGAACGCUCACUGGCAGCACACAGGCCUUUCCUGA